RNAcentral lists this ribosomal RNA (352 nucleotides) under Escherichia coli. RNAcentral's name for it is "partial 23S ribosomal RNA". It matches the Rfam family "Bacterial large subunit ribosomal RNA", at positions 1 to 380 of the family's 2925-position model. Lineage: Bacteria; Pseudomonadati; Pseudomonadota; Gammaproteobacteria; Enterobacterales; Enterobacteriaceae. The record is from RNAcentral. RNAcentral also lists the same sequence under 1 other name.
GGGUUGUGAGGUUAAGCGACUAAGCGUACACGGUGGAUGCCCUGGCAGUCAGAGGCGAUGAAGGACGUGCUAAUCUGCGAUAAGCGUCGGUAAGGUGAUAUGAACCGUUAUAACCGGCGAUUUCCGAAUGGGGAAACCCAGUGUGAUUCGUCACACUAUCAUUAACUGAAUCCAUAGGUUAAUGAGGCGAACCGGGGGAACUGAAACAUCUAAGUACCCCGAGGAAAAGAAAUCAACCGAGAUUCCCCCAGUAGCGGCGAGCGAACGGGGAGCAGCCCAGAGCCUGAAUCAGUGUGUGUGUUAGUGGAAGCGUCUGGAAAGGCGCGCGAUACAGGGUGACAGCCCCGUACAC